Erpetoichthys calabaricus (reedfish) is the source of this 930-nucleotide long non-coding RNA. RefSeq lists it as uncharacterized. The transcript is spliced from 2 exons. The record is from RefSeq and is a predicted model, not a curated record. Lineage: Eukaryota; Metazoa; Chordata; Cladistia; Polypteriformes; Polypteridae.
AACAAGGUUAGUUUAUAGGGAUGUCAUUGAGAGGACUACAAGUAAUGGUCAUUGUUUUGUAACUUGCAGUAGGUGAUAUGAAUCCAUUUCAAUUUCGGAAUCUUCCACAGCAGUUGGUUGGGUGAGUGGAUUCUGGAGUAUUCAUGUUGAUGUAUGCUCUGCACCUUGUCUUGAAUGCGCCAUUUGACUUCACAGCUGUAAGCUUUCACUUAUGUCUCUGAUUAUUUGUUAAUAUCUGUUACUGGUUUUAAUGUUCUUUGUUUUUUUCCCUCUGCAUGGCAGUGUGAUUUACCCUUGAUCAGGAGGUGCUGGUGCUUUAUUCUAUUGGAGAAUUUUGCUGUUGGAAGUUAUCUCUUUCUCUGUGGCUAACGUGUGAAUAUUUCGUACAGGACAAAGGCGUUCACUAAAGGUGAGGAGGUAUACAGUUAAUAUCUAAUAUUAUUUAAAUAGGCAUGUAGAAAUACAUGUUUUGUUUAAUUCUCUUUGUGGUCUUUUAUCUAAAGGAACCACUAAUAAAAAAGGACCUCCACACUGCAGUAAAAUGGUUGCGCCAACAUAGACAGUUGUUCAGAGGUGCCGUGUCUGAGCCCCAUUUUCUGGAGAUGGAGGAGGAGGACCGAAGCCGAGCUCUCCAGGACAUCAUCGAUGCAGUCGAAACUGAAGAUUUAAUUUUGGCAAAAGAACCCUUUGUAUUUAUUUUUCAGUUUAGGGAUGAUAUGGAACUUUUCACUCAGGAAUGUCGGGAUAAAAUGAAACUUAAAGUAAACUGCAUAUUUAAUGAAUCAGUAUAAUUAUUGUCUGUUGCUACAUUGAUUGUUACUUGUAUUUUAUUGUGCAUUAAUACUCUAUUGAUUUCAGUUUAUAAUACUUUGAUUUUUCUGUUUUCCUUUGGUGGUGGAUAGUUUUUGAAAAUAAACAAUUUAACUGCAA